AGAGUUUGAUCCUGGCUCAGAUUGAACGCUGGCGGUAUGCUUAACACAUGCAAGUCGAACGGCAUCGGAAUAGUAGCUUGCUACUAUAGCCGGCGAGUGGCGGACGGGUGAGUAAAGCGUAGGGAUCUGCCUUAGAGCGGGGGAUAACUUGAGGAAACUUAAGCUAAUACCGCAUAAUGUCCGAGGACCAAAGCGAGGGA
RNAcentral lists this ribosomal RNA (200 nucleotides) under uncultured bacterium. RNAcentral's name for it is "partial 16S ribosomal RNA". It matches the Rfam family "Bacterial small subunit ribosomal RNA", at positions 8 to 213 of the family's 1533-position model. The record is from RNAcentral.